This is a small RNA of Aspergillus niger, 331 nucleotides long. It matches the Rfam family "A. fumigatus sRNA Afu_309". The record is from Rfam. NCBI's taxonomy places the organism in Eukaryota, Fungi, Ascomycota, Eurotiomycetes, Eurotiales, Aspergillaceae.
CAGAACAGAACACACACGGAUCUGUGUUCAGCGAUCCCGUUCAUGGAGGGUGCGGCUUCGGCUGUUAUUUCUUUGUGUUUCGGUUGAACGCUGGACAGUUCGACGACUUAAGGAGCCAUUCAUCUUGUGGAUGGUUUUUGCACUUCCGGUCGACAGAUCUCAGAUUAAAGGUUGGCGCUGGGUGUUCACUCGGGUCUUGAGCUCCCUUGUUUUCGAACUUGGUGAGCUCGGCUGGAGUUCCUGGUUGCUGACGGCGUCAUAUUCCUACUCCCUUCACCGAAUUGGCCGUCGGUCACUGAGGUUAGGGAAAAACCAUGACCUGCCAACAUUA